UGGGGAAUAUUGCACAAUGGGCGAAAGCCUGAUGCAGCAACGCCGCGUGAGGGACGACGGCCUUCGGGUUGUAAACCUCUUUUAGCAAGGAAGAAGCGAAAGUGACGGUACUUGCAGAAAAAGCGCCGGCUAACUACGUGCCAGCAGCCGCGGUAAUACGUAGGGCGCAAGCGUUAUCCGGAAUUAUUGGGCGUAAAGAGCUCGUAGGCGGUUUGUCGCGUCUGCUGUGAAAACCCGAGGCUCAACCUCGGGCCUGCAGUGGGUACGGGCAGACUAGAGUGCGGUAGGGGAGAUUGGAACUCCUGGUGUAGCGGUGGAAUGCGCAGAUAUCAGGAAGAACACCGAUGGCGAAGGCAGAUCUCUGGGCCGUAACUGACGCUGAGGAGCGAAAGGGUGGGGAGCAAAACAGGCUUAGAUACCCUGGUAGUCCACCCGUAAACGUUGGGAACUAGUUGUGGGGUCCAUUCCACGGAUUCCGUGACGCAGCUAACGCAUUAAGUUCCCCGCCUGGGGAGUACGGCCGCAAGGCUAAAACUCAAAGGAAUUGACGGGGUCAUAGCUG
RNAcentral lists this ribosomal RNA (562 nucleotides) under uncultured bacterium. RNAcentral describes it as "partial 16S ribosomal RNA". It matches the Rfam family "Bacterial small subunit ribosomal RNA", at positions 355 to 932 of the family's 1533-position model. The record is from RNAcentral.